RNAcentral lists this ribosomal RNA (327 nucleotides) under uncultured eukaryote. Its description in RNAcentral is "partial 18S ribosomal RNA". It matches the Rfam family "Eukaryotic small subunit ribosomal RNA", at positions 1470 to 1796 of the family's 1831-position model. The record is from RNAcentral.
CCCUUAGACGUUCUGGGCCGCACGCGCGCUACACUGACCAGUGCAACAAGCAUCCGUCCUUGGCCGACAGGCCCGGGCAAUCUUUGAACGCUGGUCGUGAUGGGGAUAGACUUUUGCAAUUUUUGGUCUUCAACGAGGAAUUCCUAGUAAACGCAAGUCAUCAACUUGCAUUGAUUACGUCCCUGCCCUUUGUACACACCGCCCGUCGCACCUACCGAUUGAGUGGUCCGGUGAGGCUUUGGGAUCUGAGCGGAAAGAGCGUUUCGCUGUUUCUGCUCGGAAAACUCAGUCGAACCUUAUCAUUUAGAGGAAGGAGAAGUCGUAACA